This 232-nucleotide unclassified non-coding RNA is filed under the name Acremonium sclerotigenum. RNAcentral's name for it is "partial contains small subunit ribosomal RNA, internal transcribed spacer 1, and 5.8S ribosomal RNA". The stretch from base 1 to 46 matches the Rfam family "Eukaryotic small subunit ribosomal RNA", at positions 1786 to 1831 of the family's 1831-position model. The record is from RNAcentral. Lineage: Eukaryota; Fungi; Ascomycota; Sordariomycetes; Hypocreales; Bionectriaceae.
AAGUCGUAACAAGGUCUCCGUUGGUGAACCAGCGGAGGGAUCAUUACCGAGUGUAAAAACUCCCAAACCAUUGUGAACUUACCACUGUUGCUUCGGCGGCCUCGCCCCGGGCGCGUUCGCGCGGCCCGGACCCAGGCGUCCGCCGGAGGCUCCAAACUCUUGUCUUUUAGUGUAUUUCUGAGUGGCAUAAGCAAAUAAAUCAAAACUUUCAGCAACGGAUCUCUUGGUUCUG